CACGGAUGGGAAGAGAAAAGGAAAUGACUGACCUGGAAGUCUGUGCACCAUCUGAGUGAAUACCUAUUGCUCACAGAGGGCACCAGAGUUUGAAAUCUCUCAAACUGGAGUACAGACAGUUGUGAAUCAUCAGAUAUUUGACUCCAGAAUGAACUCUCUUCUUCCUUCGAGG
Long non-coding RNA from Microtus oregoni (creeping vole), 172 nucleotides. RefSeq lists it as uncharacterized. The transcript has 3 exons. Lineage: Eukaryota; Metazoa; Chordata; Mammalia; Rodentia; Cricetidae. The record is from RefSeq and is a predicted model, not a curated record.